Molecule: ribosomal RNA, 1540 nt
Filed under: Tannerella forsythia
Lineage: Bacteria; Pseudomonadati; Bacteroidota; Bacteroidia; Bacteroidales; Tannerellaceae
Description: bacterial SSU rRNA
Rfam family: Bacterial small subunit ribosomal RNA
Source: RNAcentral
CAAUUUGAACAACGGAGAGUUUGAUCCUGGCUCAGGAUGAACGCUAGCGAUAGGCUUAACACAUGCAAGUCGAGGGGCAGCGAGGGUAGCAAUACCUGUCGGCGACCGGCGCACGGGUGAGUAACGCGUAUGUAACCUGCCCGCAACAGUGGAAUAACCCGGCGAAAGUCGGACUAAUACCGCAUAAAACAGGGGUCCCGCAUGGGAAUAUUUGUUAAAGAUUUAUCGGUUGCGGAUGGGCAUGCGUACCAUUAGGUAGUUGGUGAGGUAACGGCUCACCAAGCCAUCGAUGGUUAGGGGUUCUGAGAGGAAGGUCCCCCACACUGGUACUGAGACACGGACCAGACUCCUACGGGAGGCAGCAGUGAGGAAUAUUGGUCAAUGGGCGAGAGCCUGAACCAGCCAAGUCGCGUGAAGGAUGACUGCCCUAUGGGUUGUAAACUUCUUUUACAGGGGAAUAAAAUGAGAUACGUGUAUUUUAUUGCAUGUACCUUGUGAAUAAGCAUCGGCUAACUCCGUGCCAGCAGCCGCGGUAAUACGGAGGAUGCGAGCGUUAUCCGGAUUUAUUGGGUUUAAAGGGUGCGUAGGUGGGCUGUUAAGUCCGCGGUGAAAGUUUGUCGCUUAACGAUAAAAUUGCCGUUGAAACUGGUAGUCUUGAGUAUAGAUGAAGUAGGCGGAAUGCGUGGUGUAGCGGUGAAAUGCAUAGAGAUCACGCAGAACUCCGAUUGCGAAGGCAGCUUACUAAGGUAUAACUGACACUGAAGCACGAAAGCGUGGGUAUCAAACAGGAUUAGAUACCCUGGUAGUCCACGCAGUAAACGAUGAUUACUAGGAGUUUGCGAUAUAGUGUAAGCUCUACAGCGAAAGCGUUAAGUAAUCCACCUGGGGAGUACGCCGGCAACGGUGAAACUCAAAGGAAUUGACGGGGGCCCGCACAAGCGGAGGAACAUGUGGUUUAAUUCGAUGAUACGCGAGGAACCUUACCCGGGAUUGAAAUGUAGACGACGGAGAGUGAGAGCUUUCUUCCCUUCGGGGCGUCUAUGUAGGUGCUGCAUGGUUGUCGUCAGCUCGUGCCGUGAGGUGUCGGCUUAAGUGCCAUAACGAGCGCAACCCUGACUGUCAGUUGCUAACAGGUAAAGCUGAGGACUCUGGCGGGACUGCCGGCGUAAGCUGUGAGGAAGGUUGGGAUGACGUCAAAUCAGCACGGCCCUUACAUCCGGGGCGACACACGUGUUACAAUGGCAGGGACAAAGGGCAGCUACCGGGCGACCGGAUGCCAAUCUCCAAACCCUGUCUCAGUUCGGAUCGGAGUCUGCAACUCGACUCCGUGAAGCUGGAUUCGCUAGUAAUCGCGCAUCAGCCAUGGCGCGGUGAAUACGUUCCCGGGCCUUGUACACACCGCCCGUCAAGCCAUGGGAGCCGGGGGUACCUGAAGUCCGUAACCGCGAGGAUCGGCCUAGGGUAAAACUGGUGACUGGGGCUAAGUCGUAACAAGGUAGCCGUACCGGAAGGUGCGGCUGGAACACCUCCUUUCUGGAGC